Molecule: transfer RNA, 72 nt
Organism: Camelus ferus (Wild Bactrian camel)
Lineage: Eukaryota; Metazoa; Chordata; Mammalia; Artiodactyla; Camelidae
Rfam family: tRNA
About the family: Transfer RNA (tRNA) molecules are approximately 80 nucleotides in length.
Source: Rfam
GGGGGUACAGCUCAGGGGUGGAGUGCAUGCCUAGCAUGCGUGAGGUCCUAGGUUCAAUCCCCGGUACCUCUA